UACGUAGGGUGCAAGCGUUACCCGGAAUCACUGGGCGUAAAGGGCGUGUAGGCGGAUGUGUAAGUCUGGUUUUAAAGACUGCGGCUCAACCGCAGGGAUGGACUGGAUACUGUAUAUCUUGACCUCUGGAGAGGAAACCGGAAUUCCUGGUGUAGCGGUGGAAUGCGUAGAUACCAGGAGGAACACCAAUGGCGAAGGCAGGUUUCUGGACAGAAGGUGACGCUGAGGCGCGAAAGUGUGGGGAGCAAACAGG
Molecule: ribosomal RNA, 253 nt
Filed under: uncultured bacterium
Lineage: Bacteria
Description: partial 16S ribosomal RNA
Rfam family: Bacterial small subunit ribosomal RNA
Source: RNAcentral